GCUUUUCUGUCUGUCAAUUUCAACCAGAAUUCUCUCCUCCCCACCUAACCAAGCCUGUGAAAGAUAAAAUACUUUCUUUCGAAAGUUGAAUGUUGUAUCUUUAUCUUUAAAAAGGAAACCCUAACAACUGAAAAACUGGUUCAGUAUCAAAUUCUUAUCCAUUUUCCCUCUUUCAUUCUUUUUAAGUAGUUGUGAUGUCACAAAUGCAACUCCAGUGUUCCACCAAAUGAUGUAGACUAAGAACUGAAACUGCUCUGCAAUUGCCCAAAUUAUAGUGAAUAUCAGAUAAAAGGUUUGCUAUCUCCUGCUGUCUAUUUUCAGGAGCCAUAAAUAACCCAGCACAAGCAGAGCUACCCCCUGCAAGCAACACGAUGCCUUCUGGAAGUCUGAAUAGGGGAAGAACAGUCUUGCCAUCUCAGUAAUGUUCUGAUUCAGCCAAUUUAUGGUGGGAACUGAGAUCCUUCAUUUCUAAGAAGCAACCAGGAGAUGCCAACUCUACAGGUCCAGGGCUCAGGUUUUGAGUGAUACUCAUCAAGAGCUCCUGGAGGAACUGAGUCAUGCUUUCACAGGAAUCUCUUAAGAAAGGAGGAGAAUGAAUUCCAGGAGAUAAAAACAGGUUUUUUUUUAUCGUUUCUUCUGAACACCCUUAGUUACAAGAAUACUGAAAGAUGAAGCAACUUGCUCAAGGAAGUAUAGAGGGGCAUAAGGAUGCGAACAAAAUUUAAUUUGAUCUUAGGCUGCAUUUAAAGAAGCACAAGUAAGAGGUUAAACUGGCAGCUUCAACUGCGGCAAUCCCAUAGGAAAGAUGUUAGAUUCCUAAGUGAGCUGUUGGACCACUGAGUGGGAGUUUCUAACUUAGUGACAUAGGACAGGUUGGAAGGCUCUAAACUCCUUAAGAGAGAUGUAAAAAGAUAUAGGAGUAGUAACUAAGAGUAGAUUUGUGAAGGGAUAUUUUGGAGAGAGCUGCUUCAGCACUAUGAGUCUCCCAGUCCCAGACUCACAGCAGGGGUGGGACACUUACUUCUCCCUUAGCCUCAAGGCAAGAGAGCAAGACUUCAGUGGGACCUGCAGAGAGCUUCAUGUGCAUCCCAUGGAGUUGGGACCACACUGUGUUGUGCCAGAGAGCCUGGGGAUCUUUAAGUGAGAGGUCUGAGAGCAGUCAGGAGAGAAAUGCAGCUGCACUGGGAUUUGCCUGUACUCCUUGAGUUUGGUAAAGGUAAAGAAUAAGUGAGUGUUUCCUGGGGACCAAAUGUGCACCAUUUAAAAUCUGAGUUUACCCGAGGGCUUCACUCAGAAGAUAAGAGCCUUCCAUCAAGUGUCUGUAUGAAAUGAGGUCAGCGUCUGAAGAAGCAGCUGAAAAAAGUGGUUGUAUCACUUUCUGAUGGACCAGCAAAGAGAUCUCUGAAGAAUCCACCAACUUGCCCAGGAUGGAAAAAUAAAGCUCCACCAUCUUCCAGACCUAGAGAGCAUCCAGCCAUUUUAUAGGCAUAACGGUCAAAUGAGAAAUAUACUGUCAUCUUACCUCUUUAUCUCCUCCCACCAUCCCUCCCCCCAUCAGUAGACCCUAAAGAGAUCAGACGCAGUGGCUGGUGGGUUGGUAGAGAUGGGGGUGAGCUGGAGGCAAACAACCAACCACAUCACUCUCCAGAAGGCAGGCUUUGAAUGAAGAUCUAAAGCUUGAUAUUUUAAUUACCAAAUUAAGAUGGUAUUUGGUGAAUUACAGUCGCCAGAGAACUCUAUAUUACCUAAGGGUGAGUAGAAAACUCAGGAGCCUGACAGAUUUUUCAUCCAGAGGGGACGAAAGAACUUUCACUACUGAAAUAUUUUAAAGGGACAUUGGGAGAUUAAAAAAAUAAAACCUCGCAUUUUGAUUAUCCCACAAGGUUUGCUUGGUCAAAAUAUCAGGGACAAUAAAUUUUCAGAGUGAAGGUCAUGAUCAUGUUCUUCUUAGCAGCAUUCAGACCAGGAUUAUGUUCUAUUCUGUAUCAUGUUCCUCAAGAGAGAUAUUGGUAGAGCAACCGAGAUGGAGAAGAGAUGCAAAAGUCAAAUCACAGAAAGGAAAACUCAAGGAACUCCAGCUGUUCAGGCAGGGGAAAAUUUAGGCAAGACACAAUAGCUCAUUUAACCUUUAUUAAUAGGCUUGCAUAUGGGGUACAGACCAGAAAAAUUCUGUGUUCUUCAGGGCUGCAUAAGAACCAGUGGACAAAUUUUAGUGCAAAAUGAGGAGACGUAUAUAAUGCAAGUAUUUGAAAACAUAUGUUUUGGAUUGUCUUGUAUUGCAAUGUAUUUCUCAUUACUGGUUGUUCAAGUGGAGGCUGGAUGACACUUGUCAUGGUUCUUACAUUGAGGAUCCAUUUAUCAUUUGAUUUUAGGUCAAAUUGCCAAGGAUCAAUUUGUUUUAAACCAGUUUGCCAAAGGACCAAUCCACCAAAUGGCCAUUUCACUGAAAACCAAGUCACCCAACACCAAUUUGCCACAUCUACUUGUUGCCUUUAACAAUUUCAUUUCAGUUGACUCGAUCCCAUUUGGCCAUAUUGGAGAGCACGUUCAGGAAUAUCUAAUUGAUUGCUGCCCUAGUUCUCUGAGGGCUGAAAGAGGGGCAACUGAGGAGCAGAGAGAUAAUGCAUUUUUGAAAAUGUUCUUAAAUAUAAUCGUGACCAUAAUGAUUUAUUACAAUUGCAUUCUUCUUUAAAGAUACUACUGUUCCUCUCCCAGACUCUCAUUCUCUCUUCCUCUCUUUCCCUCUUUCUGCUCCCUAGUCUCCAGCUGCAACACCUUGGCACUGGGAUGGAAACAAAUGGAGCAUUUAUUGAGUGUAAGAGUUAAAAACAACACCCCUCUUUUUCCUCCAUUUUGGAACCAAUUGAGAGAGAGGUGGAGGUGCCAGUCAAGUGGAAAUCAAAAUAUUCCCUUUAUUCUUGGUAAGCUCUAUUGGAGGAUAUGGCCCAAAUCUGGCCAAACGGCCCCAAACUGUAACCACAGGCUUUCCCUCCAGAAGCAAGAUUUCUACAGCACUGUUCCCACAUCCACAAAACAACAGACAUGCCAAUCCCCAGCCUCUAGAGCAUUAACACAGGCAAAAGCAUGGUUCUAGAACCCAGAACCCAAGAAAUUCAGUGAUACCUGAGAGAAAGGGAAUAAACGGGGGAAAAUGUUUUGUUUUAUCCUCAUAGAAUAUCAUCAGCUCAGGCUAGUGGUUUGGAGCUCAAGACUUGUGAUUUUAAAGGGGAACCUCUCAUUAAGCUAAGUGGUUAAUUCUGACCUUACAUGCAAUCUUGCAGUGGCUGCCCAUUUCCCUCAGCAUAGAAGCCAAAGUCUUGUGGGAAAGCCAGCAGAGCUCCCUCGUGUGAACACUUCUCUGACUUUAUCUCCUCCAGCUCUCCCCCUAACUUGGAGACUCUGCUUCAGCCACACUGACUUCCUUUCUGCCCUCAAACAUACCUUGCCUUCACCCAUCUGAAGCCUUUACCCCAGAUACAGUUACAGUACUCUCAGUUAGUCAGUACACCCAUGACUCUUUGUGUAUGUGUGUGCACGUGUAUGUAAUACAUGUAUACACACCAUACAUAGGCAUACA
Equus caballus (horse) is the source of this 3577-nucleotide long non-coding RNA. NCBI's taxonomy places the organism in Eukaryota, Metazoa, Chordata, Mammalia, Perissodactyla, Equidae. The record is from Ensembl.